GUUGUGGGUGCAGUGGCGGCCACCCGUAGUCUGAGCUCCUGGGGAGGCUGAGGCAGGAGGAUCGCUUGAGCCCAGGAGUCUGAGGCCCUUGGACAACAUAGAGACCUGGUCUCAA
Molecule: small RNA, 115 nt
Filed under: Marmota monax (woodchuck)
Lineage: Eukaryota; Metazoa; Chordata; Mammalia; Rodentia; Sciuridae
Source: RNAcentral